Molecule: ribosomal RNA, 1533 nt
Filed under: Flavobacteriales bacterium
Lineage: Bacteria; Pseudomonadati; Bacteroidota; Flavobacteriia; Flavobacteriales
Description: bacterial SSU rRNA
Rfam family: Bacterial small subunit ribosomal RNA
Source: RNAcentral
ACAAUGGAGAGUUUGAUCCUGGCUCAGGAUAAACGCUAGCGGCAGGCCUAACACAUGCAAGUCGCGGGGCAGCAUAACAAUUAGCAAUAAUCGUUGAUGGCGACCGGCGCACGGGUGCGUAACACGUAUGUAACCUGGCCUUUACAGGGGGAUAGUCAGAGGAAACUUUGAAUAAUACCCCAUAACACACCAUUAAGGCAUCUUAAAGGUGUUAAAGGAGCGAUCCGGUAAAGGAUGGACAUGCGACCGAUUAGACAGUUGGUGAGGUAACGGCUCACCAAAUCCACGAUCGGUAGGGGGUCUGAGAGGACUACCCCCCACACUGGUACUGAGAUACGGACCAGACUCCUACGGGAGGCAGCAGUGAGGAAUAUUGGGCAAUGGGCGGAAGCCUGACCCAGCCAUGCCGCGUGCAGGAAGACAGCCCUAUGGGUCGUAAACUGCUUUUUUAGAGGAAGAAUAAAGUCUACGUGUAGACCGAUGACGGUACUUUAAGAAAAAGCAUCGGCUAACUCCGUGCCAGCAGCCGCGGUAAUACGGAGGAUGCAAGCGUUAUCCGGAAUUAUUGGGUUUAAAGGGUCCGCAGGCGGCCCGUUAAGUCAGUAGUGAAAACCCGGGGCUCAACCCCGGACGUGCUACAGAUACUGGCGGGCUAGAGAAAGUCUGGAGGCAGCGGAAUGUGACAAGUAGCGGUGAAAUGCAUAGAUAUGUCACAGAACACCGAUAGCGAAAGCAGCUGCCUAAGACUUAUCUGACGCUCAGGGACGAAAGCGUGGGGAGCAAACAGGAUUAGAUACCCUGGUAGUCCACGCAGUAAACGAUGGAUACCAUCUUUUUGGCAAUUAUGCUGAGAGGACAAUCGAAAGAGAUAAGUAUCCCACCUGGGGAGUACGUGCGCAAGCAUGAAACUCAAAGGAAUUGACGGGGGCCCGCACAAGCGGUGGAGCAUGUGGUUUAAUUCGAUGAUACGCGAGGAACCUUACCAGGGUUUAAAUGGGUCCUGAAUAAUUUGGAAACAGAUUAGCCGCAAGGCAGGAUUCAAGGUGCUGCAUGGUUGUCGUCAGCUCGUGCCGUGAGGUGUUAGGUUAAGUCCUGCAACGAGCGCAACCCCCAUGAUCCGUUACUAACAGGUAAAGCUGAGGACUCAGAUCAGACUGCCGGCGUAAGCCGCGAGGAAGGCGGGGAUGACGUCAAAUCAUCACGGCCCUUACACCCUGGGCCACACACGUGCUACAAUGGCCGGUACAGAGAGCAGCCACCCCGCGAGGGGGAGCGAAUCUACAAAACCGGUCUCAGUUCGGAUCGCAGUCUGCAACUCGACUGCGUGAAGCUGGAAUCGCUAGUAAUCGCGCAUCAGCCAUGGCGCGGUGAAUACGUUCCCGGGCCUUGUACACACCGCCCGUCAAGCCAUGGAAGUCUGGGGGACCUGAAGACGGUAACCGCAAGGAGCCGUUAAGGGUAAAACAGGUAACUAGGGCUAAGUCGUAACAAGGUAGCCGUAUCGGAAGGUGCGGCUGGAACACCUCCUUUAUA